Canis lupus familiaris (dog) is the source of this 10481-nucleotide long non-coding RNA. RefSeq lists it as uncharacterized. The record is from RefSeq and is a predicted model, not a curated record. The transcript has 11 exons. Lineage: Eukaryota; Metazoa; Chordata; Mammalia; Carnivora; Canidae.
CUCAGCAGAAGGGGCUGGGAAAGGGUGACCCAGCAUUUGAAAAUGGCACCCGAUUCUUGGGUGGGCAAAUCUCCGCAAGUCCUUACACCCAUCUAGGUGGGUGCCUACCUCUGGGGGAAAGCCUCAGGACUGACCAGACGAUGAUCUGUGACCAGGCACUCUUGAAAGGCCUCUGGAAGCCCUGGCUCUCUCACUCUUGGAGAUCUCAGCUUUCAGAUUUUUUUUUGCGGAACGCUAAAAAUCUCAUGAGCCGGAUCCUGUAGCUAUGGAGACUGACAGAUCCGAUGGCUGAGGCUAGUGCUUUCCCAAUGGGAAGAGCUCCCAAAGUCCCUGUGGUUGUGUCUUCAAAGCUGAAGUCAUGAAGAGGAAUCAUCCCUCAUUUCGAGCUGUCCUUUGGGUUGGAGUAUGCAAACUCACCCUGAGCUAAAUGCUGCUGCUGGCAGGAAACCCUGCUGCUCAGCCAAUGGAAUAAGCAGGUCCAAGAAGAUGACCAAAUAAUUCUGGAGGCUCUGAAUUCUCCAUCAUGAGUUCAGAUGGUUCAAUUCUGAUCAUCGGUUCAGGUAUUGGCUAAAUACCAGUGGGCCAGAGAGUGUGAUGGUGGGAAAACUCUUGCAGAGAAGUAAAUGGGCCAGAGAAGUGGACUUGCUUGAGUCCAGUUGUGGAAGGGAGUUGGAGUACAGAAGGCCACUCAUGUCAUAAACAAGCCCGUGGGGUGGCAAAGAUGGCAAAGACCCUGACGGAUUUCAUCUGGUGAAGCGAGGCCCAGACUUUGGAGGCUUUGGAUCUGGGCAGCCUGGCCCCAGAGUUGGCCACGCUUUGCUGUCUCCUCUCAAAACUAAUCCAAGCAGAAUGGGUUUCAAUUUCCCAAAGGACCCGCGAUCGUCCAAGGAGGGUUGGAAUAAAGGAGGUAAAGAUGGAAGCAGAGAAGAAAGAAGGUUAAUGGGUCGCAAACAGAGACCUGUUGGAGAGACCCUUGAGGGUCUCAGGAUCUUGGCUCUCUUUUGAUUCGUGUAAAAAGGAGGACGUCUGAGCACCUUCGCUGGAAUUGGCCCUCCAGGACUCACCCUCGCUCCCCAGUGACUUCCAGACCUUUCAGUGAAGGAUUCUGUGCGCCCCUCCUGGAUUCCUGGGACUAGGCUGGCAGAGACUGACACCCGGGGCCGUCGAGUCCCGUUCUGGGUCCCAGUUUGGUAGAGGAAACUUGGAGAGGCAGGGCUUCCGAUGGCCCUGCAGGAGCCUGGGCCUACCUGCCACAUUCCAUUCUUCAGGUCUUAAAAGCCUCCUAUUCUUUUACAAAUCACUGGUUCAGGCCUAAAUUAUCCAGAUAAUUGAGCCGCCUGGCCCGUCACUUUGUUGGCAUAGACACCAUUUAUGUGUAAUCUGAGAAUAUUCUAUCUGCUGCCGAGUUUCUUCCAAAGGCAUUAUUUCUAACCUUCUUUAAGAACAAAUUUCCGGUUGCCAUGGAGAUCAUUUUUAGGCUAAUUUUAUCGGGCGCAGGAGCCAGGGCUGGAAGCAGCUCUCGCACGUUUCUCAAGUUGUCUACUCUGGAGAGUCCUGAGGUUGUCUUUGUCCAAGAGGCUCCCCGACCUCAACGUCCUUUGAACCAGACAAGUCCGGUGAUAGUCACGUUUUGGUUCAGAAUGUUAAAAGCCCUGACAUCAAUUGUCUAGGUAUUUUUGAUUCGUUUUAAUGGGAAAACACUUCAAGAUGUGUGUGUGUUGGGGGGGAGGGGGGAGUCUCAGUUUUAUAAAUACGUGCUUUCUGAAACCUGCUUGUGAACAAACUGUUAAAAUGAGAGCUUUCCGAGCUAGAAAAGACUAGAAAAUUCAGAAAGCGUCAAAGGCAUUUCAUAAGCACCAAACCUGGCCCCCGCUGAGGUGCGCGAGGGGAAGCCGAGGAAUAGGACAUGAAAUCUGCCUCCAGGAAGUUGCAAUCUGGUGAGAAUUGAAUUGCUUUAGAGCUGGGAGGGCCCCUCAAGGAUCAUGCCUGUUAAUAGGCUCAUUUUACAAGUUGGGAAAUUAAUCCAAACGCUCAGGGCUGGUGCUCGGGAGAGUUUAAAAACCAAGGUCUCUUGGCUCCCAGUCACUGGGGUAGAGUUUGUGUAAGCUGGACCACACCUCUCCCGGAGGCUCCCACCUGCCGCUCUGCUCCCUGCUGUCCUCACCUCACCUUGUUCGUUCAGGUCACACAAGCAUCCGGAUGUGGAAUUGGGAUUCGAAGCUGAGAAGUCUGGCUUUGAAGCUGCUGCUUUUGUGAAGUCUCCAGACCGCGCUUAAAUUUAAGCAUAAAACAACACGGCGCUGACCAUAGGUUAUUUAGAGGCAUAAAUGUAAAGGACCCGAAUUAUCUGCACUGGACAGAUGAAGAUGCUGCCCCCCCCCGUCUGCGUAAGGGCUCCGCAUGAAGGCCUGACAAUCAUGUGCCUGGGCAAUGUGUGAUGCUCUUUUAAAUUGCCUUUCUUCCUCACCGGAGGUUUGGGAAAGUCUUCUAGCUUGGAUGUGGAAAGCUGACUGGUGGUACUGGCAGUGCGGGUCUUGCGGCUGAUGCCACCCUCUCCUUGGGACUCCGCUCAUUGAGGUCUGGCUGGUCACCAAUGUGUGGCAACAGUGGCUUCAGAAAGGAACUGGCUGUCAGGCUCCUCCUGUGUUGUUACCCUUCCCAUGUGCAUGGAUAGCUGCAAACUAAGGAAAUAUUGACAUGCUGAUGGCCUUGGCCGCAGGAGCUCAGAGCUACACUGUCCAGCGAGUCUCCCUGGUAAGCCCUUGCUUUGUCCCCUGAUGGGCCUGCCAUUUGCUCCGGCCUUUAGCUCUCUUUGGGCUCCUCGAAACCCAUUAGUGUAUUCCUUCUAAUCAUCAUGCUCACCAUGCACACUGCUGACCAGAGUCCUUUCUGAGCAAAUGUCCCUGACCCCACCCUCUUGCAUCACACGAACAGGUUUGUAGGAACGGGUGUAGGUCCAGCUGAGCCAGGAGACAGCUAAUGGUCACGAUGAUAGGUUAUCAGGGCAUUGCUGCAGACCACACAGACAGCUGCCCAGAACUUAACUGCUGUCUGCUUUGCUCCCUAAACAGUCACCGUGACCUCCCCCCAGCUGUUCUGACAUUCCAUUCUCAAGGCCUAAGGAAUGCUCGGUGGCCAAGCUAGAUGUUACCUCGUUGGCUGGAUUCUUAGUACACGAAAUGAAAACGGGAUCCGUGGGGCAGAGUCAUGUCUGAGGCAGGACCGGCAAAAGCAAGGGGGAGGCAGGGCAGGGGCAGUGUGGGAAGAGAAAGGACAUUCUGAAGGGGACUGCAUCAUGAAGGCCCAGGACAAAGGAAGCAAAUGUUUAGAGGCAGCUACUUAUAAUAGUCAGGGACUCUCUAAAUAGGCUUUUUUUUUUUUUUUUUUUUUUUUUUUUACUCUUUCGGGAACCCGAGUUGGUAGGCAUUCUCAUUCCCAGUUAGCAGGUGAAUAAAGUGAGGCGCAGGCGGGCUGCCACCUGGCUAAAAGUGACAGAACUAGCUAAGUCUGGUUCCGGAGCCCAGCUCCUAUCCACUGCACCAGCCCAUCAGAAUCAGCCCUUAAACAAGGUUCACAUUCCGAGUUGUUCAUUAUACAGGGAAAGAGCUUCGGAGGCCUGUUGAGGUUGAUUUGCAUAAUUCAUUUUUAGAACAUUAAUUAGCCGGGAUGUGUAAUAGUUCUUGUGCCAAUUUGUGUUUCAAUUUCAAAUGCAAAUACAAAUUAGCAAAUGUUAUUCCUGUGGCACCUUAAGGAUGAAACAUUUGCUGCUUGUAGUGAGUAUUAAUCUUUACAUUUCUGAAACUAUGACUGAUAGAAGCGAUAAUAUCCUUUAAUUUGCAGGAUUGGGGGAAAAACUAGUCUGGUGGGUAAGAAGCAAUUUUUUUUUAGCAAAAGGAAAAAGCAUGUUAGGCAUCCAUCCAUCCAUCUAUCCAUCCAUUCAUCUAUACAUCCAUCCAUCUAUUCAUCCAUCUAUCCAUCCAUCCAUCCACGCGUCCAUCUAUGCAUCCAUCCAUCCGUCUAUCUAUGCAUCCAUCCAUCUAUCCGUCUAUCUAUGCAUCCAUCCAUGCAUCCAUACAUCCAUUAAAUACCACUGAACAUGAACUAAGUGUCAGACUUUGCUGUAGGAGACAGAGGUGGCUCCAGGGAGCUCACACACAUAGUGGGAUAGAGUCAUGUCACGAAACAAGGACACUAAAUUGGGAUAAGCUUUAGAAGAGAGCUAAACUUUCAGGUGGUGGAACAGAAAGGCCAGAAGUGCCCAGGAACGGUUCCCAAGGAAUGGGACACUGAGCAAGCUGACUCUUGAAGCGGUGGGGGGACGAAGCCAGGGAGAAGUGGGUUGUCAGUGGUGGCCAUGAGACCACCAUGAGAGACAACUUUCAUGUGAGAUCCGGCAUGCUUGGGGGACUCCAAGCCUUUCUGCUCAGCCCGAACAUACGCUCACUUGCAGCUAUGAGAGCAGGGGGAAGACGAUGGGCAGCCUUGUCUGCAGGCUGCAUUGUUUGGAAUUCAAUCUGCAGAUCUUUGAGAGCCAUUGACCGAAGGAACUGGUGGGAUUGACAUUUCAGAAAGCUCAUUCUGAAGCCCAUGUGGAGAAUGUGAGAAGGAGACUGUAGACAUGGCGUUAAGAGAUGAUUGGAACAACCCUGCAGAAGAGACGUGCUGACCACGGCAGCUGCAGGGGAAGUGGAGAGGAGGGGACAUCAUAAAGAGAUAUUUCAGGAAUAUCUGAAUCUCUGGGGAGGCAAUGUGGGCUUAAGAGCAUAAGCUUCAAAUCCACUUGUUCUCUUUCCAUCCUGGCUCUGACCUUGGGGAGCUCCCAUAGUGCUCUCUGCUGGCUGUCUCAUAUUGCCCUGGAAAAUAUACCAAGUUUAAGAAAAUAUACCAAAUCUAGAAAGGAAGUGAACCUCCAGCAUCAUGUUGAGGAUGGCAUGCUGGGGAGGUUGCUGAGAGAAUAUUGUGUUUUGAUCUCAAUACCAGCCACUCAGUCAUUGAAACAUCACCACAGGUGAGGCCACCUUUCCCCGUGGACUCUGAAGUCGAGUGAGGGGAUUCUCCACAGACGGUGAUUGUCUGCCUUCUAAGGGCGUAUAUCCGAAUCUGUAACCUGUGAAUAAGUCUCUAGAAAGCCAGACUGGAAUACCUGUUGAUCAAAUGUAGCAGUGAGUAGUGGCAUUUGACGAGCCGAUGUCACAUUCCUGUGGGAUUCUCGGUAGGGACGACCCUCAAAAAAAUGAGUGGACCCAAUAAAAAUGACUUCAACUUGAACCUACAAGUAUUCACUUCCCAUUUAAUUUUCGUAAAGUGAUGGGAAGGGCUGAGGGUUCUGAUCUCUGGGACUCCGUUUACCCGGCUGACUAAGGAGGUUAGGUGAGAUGACUUUUUUAAGGCCCAGUUCCACUCUUUAUACAAUUUCUUUGAGUCAUUUCCUGUGAAUAUCCUAAAUCUCUCAGCCCCUAAUGACUGAUGUAUUAUAUUACGGAGGUCAUUUUGCAUUCCAGGGUUUCCUCCAGAGAGAAGGACAGGGUGCUUCUACAGAGAAAAAUUUCCCAGGGGAUUUGAUAAAUCCAGAUUCUGACAUUUAUCUAAGGUCAUCUCAACUGACCUGUUCUAACUUUGAGAAUUCCACUCUUUCCCCCUCAAUGUCCUAAGAACAUCCCGGCAAGGCUGUGAAUUCGAUUUACAUUGUAAUUCUGCGACUUGUAGACAUAAACUUUGGGCCUGACUCAACCUGGAGGAUAUGAGAAAUUGGCAAUUCUUUUAGGGCUGACACGGAGGUUUUCCAGUUUUCAGAUUCUACCUUAAGCUAAAUAUUCAAACUUGGGUCUUGACCUUCUCUUCAGGUAAACUCUCCUGUGGAGUCAGAGAUAGCACCUCCCCAUCACACCAGUUCUCGUAAUCAUUCUGUCCAACACUACCAGUGACUUCAUCUCUGGAAACGUUGCUUUCAAUGCCCAAGUCGUCACAGACAAUUGCAGAUAAUAACUUAAGUAACUUGUCCUUGUGCUAGUUGCCAUCUACUAGUACAUUCUUCUUCUUUUUAUUUUUUUUUUAAAGAUUUUAUUUAUUUAUUCAUGAGAGACACAGAGAAAGAGGCAGAGACACAGGCAGAGGGAGAAGCAGGUUUCCUUCGGGGAGCCCAAUGCAGGACUCGAUCCCAGGACCCUGGGAUCAUGACCUAAGCCAAAGGCAGAUGCUCAACCACUGAGCCACCCAGGGGCCCCUACUAGUACUUUCUAGAACGUUGUCUACUCGCACAUGAUUUUGACCAAAUACCCAGAUAACUCAUUUCAGGUUGCCAGUUUGGAGAGUUGGUUGCGCAGAGUCUAUGCCUGUGUAGCUAACCUGCUGGUGUGGCUGCUGGUACUAUGGCAAAAGCCCUGCUUGUAGGGAGUUGGGAGAGGGGAGCCUACUGUCAAUGACAGCAUGGGAUCUUGAGAGGCCACCCUAAUGCCUGCUGCUGUACUGUUCCUCUAGAGUCAGAGCACUCAGGCUCCAUGCCACCCGAUGGCUGACGUGCUGCUGCCACUCCUGGUGCCAGAGCCCAUGGGCAUCGUGCUGCCCGCACAUCCCUUACCAACCUGUCAUUCCCGACGGAGCUGUGUUACCUGAGCAGAAACCCUGGAGCCCACGUCUGUCUGCCGCUUCUCUUGCUGUUGCUAGAAGCAAAAGACACUCACAUACAGGUAUUGAAGAAAAGUUGGAAUUUCUCGAGAAGAAAAUUUUCUCUCCUAAGCUGUAAUCCUACGAGCAGAUACAGUCACUGUUCCUGCUUUCCAGUCUUUUAAAAUAUAUUAUCUGCAGGGCUGAUAUGCAGUGGUGCUGGCACAUAGUAGAUGCUCAGUAAAUAUUUGCGGAAUCAAAGGAAUGUUAUCAUUUGGACUGUGUGCGAAAGAAAACCUUAUAAAACCUUCUAUAAGUAGCUUAUUUGUUAACAAAGCCCCCCAAAGCAAGUAGUGACAGAUAAUCCUGGUGCCCUGAUGGCUGCAGACUCUCUGCCUGGUGCUCUUUCUCUUACACAGACUGAACUCCUCAGCCAAAGGCCACUGCUACCAAUGGGCCAUGACAGUGUCUGGCAGUUGGAAAAGGAGACCAGGAUUCACUGAUCCUUGCCCAACCCUUAUAACCAAGAAUUUUUAAAAUCUGGUAUAGUGUUAUGGGUUCAAUGAUGCUGCUCAGAAGGAUAUGUUGAAGCCCUUAGCGCCAGCACAUCAGAGCGUGGCCUUAUUUGGAAACGGAGUCACUGCAGAUGUCAUUGGGUAAAUCGAGGCCUCUAUUCCAUACAUGAUGAGUAUCUUUAUGAGAAGAGGAAAGUGUGGGGGCCGCCCACGCAAGAUGGAGGUAGAGAUUGGAGUCACAUUGCCAAAGCCAAGGAAGACCUGGGACUGGCAGAAGCCGGAAGGGGCAAGGAAGGAUCCCCCCCUUCUAGAGGCUUCAGAGGGAGCAUGGCCAGCUAACAUCUUGGAUUUGGACUUCUGGCCUCAGAACUGAGUCAGUGAUCUCUGUACCCGCUCUGUGGGCCUUGGCUGGGCAGUCCCAGGGGGCUAACAUGUGUGUGUGGUCCAGCCCGCCCUCCUAAGGCAGUGAGGGCCGUGUGAGCCACUGUACAACAGAAGCACACGCACCGACACUUUUCUCCAGCACUGACCUAGUUUCUGAGAAAUGAUCAAUAAACCCCGGGCAAGUCUACAGCCUGCAACGCGUCUGCAUCUGCCCUGGCUUUGCACUUCACUUCCCUCGUGUGGGCCAGCCCGAGAGCUGGCUUGUCAGCCGGAGCUUGCUUUCUCUCAUCCAACCAAGUGUGUGGGGGUCUGGCGUUGUCCUCGCUGCCCUGGUUUUGUGUGGGUCACUGCGGGGACCUUCUUGGGCUCCUGGAAGGCGGAGGUCCCAGCCUUGCCUCUUGGGGCAGAAACACAACCAGCUGUCCGUCCAAACCGGAUGUUUUAGACAGUGGACUGGAGGUGGUGCCUGAGGUCUGACACAGAGGCAGUGUCCCCAAAAGGAAGGGGGCUCGAAUCAGAAGUCCCGGCCUCCUGGAUCCUGUUGUGUUCCUCACCAAGGGACUUUGGACAGGUCACUCCUCUCUGGGCCUCAGGCUCUCCAUGGAUGGAGCUGGUCACAAUCUGUGCCCGGUCAGUGUUCUAGAGGCGGGGUCCUGGUGGGGGACAGUCUAUCCGGUGUGUCGGGGCAGCGUGGGAAUACCUGGAGCCAGGUCCAGAGGCCUGAGAGAGGGAGAAGCAGAGCAUCUGGUGUCGCCCAGAAAUAAGUGAAGAAGAGAGAAACCCGGCACUUGAUUUCUUAGUGAACUUUCUUCUAAAGGACACGCUGCAGAUCAGAAGACCCUAAUUGGAACAGCAGCAGGCGGUGCAGUCUUGGGCAGGCACCAUGAACAUUUUUUCCAGAUGGAGGGGCUGCCCCUUCUCUCUGUAAACUCAGCCGACCAAGGAGAAUUCUCCUCUGGCAAGCUCAGAGGCCCUGCUGGGAGUCCUGCAAAGGAGACACUGAUUUCCUCGCUGGUCACAAGGAGCCCGUGGGACCUGAGCUGGUUGCUCUGGGUCUGGAUGACGGUAUCUGGAAAUGUCUCGCCAGCUCCCUGCAUCACACCGAGGCCUGGCAUCAGCCAGUCAGAGAGGAAAACGUGUUCAAGUCACUCGUCCCUCACACACUUUGGGAAAAUCGUAACUCUUUCAAAACAGAUGGAUCAAGAAAUUGAGUGUCUCCUUCCACCCGGCCUCUUCCACGUGGCACUUGAAGACCCCAGAGGAAGGAAGAACACGUGAGCAAGCACAGCAGCGACCACGUUGCCUGGCUUGCUGUGUGCACAUGGCGGUCCCUUAUGAGCUCCAUGGGUCUGCAGACGUGACUUUCUUACGCAGUAGGGAAGAUAAAAAGAAAGUGUGAGAAAUGAUGAGAAACAAAGACAAGACAAUCUCUAUCGAAAGACAAGCCCACCAGGUGCAGGCAGGACACAAGGCAGAACACGAAGGCCUGAGUGAUGGAACCGAGCUGCAGUUGUCCAGGGAGGUCACCUGAGGGAGGUCCCAGGCCUGGCUGGCAAGAGUCAGCAUCUUUUUCAGCAGCCGUGACUCUGGCUGAGAAGAUGCCUCUCGAGUAGAUCCAGAACCACCCACCUACCAUCUCCAGGAACUCAGCCCAGGAACAGGCUUCCAAGCACUGGCUCAGGGCUCCUCAUGACACGGCUUCCCCCAGAGCAAGUGGUCCCACAGCAAGAGAAUGACAGAGCAGCAAAAGUGGAAACUGCAACCCAUGGUAACCUCAUCCCAGAAGUGAUGAUACAUCCACGAGUCUCAAGACCAACCCCGGUUCCAAGUGUGAGAUGUGACUACCCGGAGGCGACACUGGCGCUUGUAACUCUGGCUGCAAAAGUGAAAAUUUAACUUAGCUCCAGAAAAAUCCAUAUCUGGGCAAAAGGAGUGCUAAUAUUUGUUCAUUCAUUCAACAGGCUCUUAUUAAGCCGUUCCUUUGUGCUAGUCACUGUUCUAGGUGCUGAAAAUAUCACGGGGACCAGACAUUCGGUUUCUGCUUUCAGAAAACAAUUAAGUAGUUCUAAGUACUAUGAAAAAAUAAAAUGAGGGAUGUGGUAGUGAAGGGGGGGGGGGACACAUGUGUUCGGCAUGUUUACUUCCAACUCACCUUUCUUCACAACAACCCUCUGGGGGUGUUAUCAGCACCCCCAUCUGCCAUUUGAGGAUGCCAAGUCUUAGAGAGGUGAGGCGACUUCCCCAGGAUCCCAGUUACUGAGAGGCGGGGCUGGUGUUUACACCAUAGUCCUCUGCCUCUUUCCCAACCUGCUAGAUCACCUCUGGGUGGUUCCAUCUACCACAACAAGAGGCCCUGCAAGCUAGGUUUAUACUUUCGAAAUCCUUUGGAGGUCUACUAUGGAAAGGUUCUAAUCCCCGAAAGAUUGCAGGCCCCUUGAGGGCAGGCCUGUUGCUUUCUUAGACCCUCUACCCCCUGGACAUCCAGGUAUUAUAAGAUGGACUAGUCCUCAGGCUCUCGCAUUGUCCUUCCUGGGCUCUGCUGUGCCUAUGCCCACCACCAUCUGCCAUUUGUUUCUGUGAGGGAGGCAUUCUCUGGAAGCUUUGCUGGCCAUCUCCACUGGCCAUCGCCUACUAGAGCCAGUGCUGAGGGGCUGUGGUCACAUCUAACGGUCUCAUUUUCAAAAAGAGCACUUUGCAAGGGAAAAGCAUCUGCCAGUUGUCAGCAAAAAUGGGUACUCAACUAAAGUGCUUUCACAUUUGUUAGUUCGGUGCCUCUCGAAGCAGACUUGUGAAGUAGACAGAAUGGGGCUCAUGGAUCAAUGUUGCAGAUGCAGACACCAAGACUCCACUUUUCCUAGAGUCUCUUAGCUGUGACUGGAAAGGUGAGGGUUUCCUGAUCCUACUACAAUGAUGUUUCUUGCCCACUCUGUAACUGUCCAGUGAUUAUGUUCCGCAAAAUAAAACUCCACGUGGCCCAGC